RNAcentral lists this ribosomal RNA (741 nucleotides) under uncultured Eubacteriales bacterium. RNAcentral describes it as "bacterial SSU rRNA". It matches the Rfam family "Bacterial small subunit ribosomal RNA", at positions 28 to 776 of the family's 1533-position model. The record is from RNAcentral. Lineage: Bacteria; Bacillati; Bacillota; Clostridia; Eubacteriales.
GAUAAACGCAGGCGGCGCACAUAAGACAUGCAAGUCGAACGAACUUAAUUGAGAGCUUGCUCUCAAAGCGGUUAGUGGCGGACUGGUGAGUAACACGUAAGCAACCUGCCUAUAGAGGGGAAUAACAGCGAGAAAUCGUUGCUAAUACCGCAUAUGCUGUGAGUAUCGCAUGAUACAAGCAGGAAAGGAGUAAUCCGCUAAUAGAUGGGCUUGCGUCUGAUUAGUUAGUUGGUGGGGUAACGGCCUACCAAGACGAUGAUCAGUAGCCGGACUGAGAGGUUGAACGGCCACAUUGGGACUGAGAUACGGCCCAGACUCCUACGGGAGGCAGCAGUCGGGAAUAUUGCGCAAUGGAGGAAACUCUGACGCAGUGACGCCGCGUGCAGGAAGAAGGUUUUCGGAUUGUAAACUGCUUUUAACAGGAAAGAAAAAAAUGACGGUACCUGUUGAAUAAGCUCCGGCUAACUACGUGCCAGCAGCCGCGGUAAUACGUAGGGAGCGAGCGUUAUCCGGAUUUAUUGGGUGUAAAGGGUGCGUAGACGGAAAUGCAAGUUAGUUGUGAAAUACCUCGGCUUAACUGAGGAACUGCAACUAAAACUAUAUUUCUUGAGUAUCGGAGGGGUUUGUGGAAUUCCUAGUGUAGCGGUGAAAUGCGUAGAUAUUAGGAAGAACACCGGUGGCGAAGGCGACAAACUGGACGAUAACUGACGUUGAGGCACGAAAGUGUGGGGAGCAAACAGG